Molecule: ribosomal RNA, 301 nt
Filed under: uncultured bacterium
Lineage: Bacteria
Description: partial 16S ribosomal RNA
Rfam family: Bacterial small subunit ribosomal RNA
Source: RNAcentral
CAGCCGCCGCGGUAACACGGAGGGUGCAAGCGUUAAUCGGAAUUACUGGGCGUAAAGCGCACGCAGGCGGUUUGUUAAGUCAGAUGUGAAAUCCCCGAGCUUAACUUGGGAACUGCAUUUGAAACUGGCAAGCUAGAGUCUUGUAGAGGGGGGUAGAAUUCCAGGUGUAGCGGUGAAAUGCGUAGAGAUCUGGAGGAAUACCGGUGGCGAAGGCGGCCCCCUGGACAAAGACUGACGCUCAGGUGCGAAAGCGUGGGGAGCAAACAGGAUUAGAUACCCGGGUAGUCCCUGUCUCUUAUAC